This 320-nucleotide ribosomal RNA is filed under the name uncultured bacterium. RNAcentral describes it as "bacterial SSU rRNA". It matches the Rfam family "Bacterial small subunit ribosomal RNA", at positions 8 to 334 of the family's 1533-position model. The record is from RNAcentral.
AGGGUUUGAUUAUGGCUCAGAUUGAACGCUGGCGGCAGGCCUAAUACAUGCAAGUCGAACGGUAACAUAAUAAAAGCUUGCUUUUAUUGAUGACGAGUGGCGGACGGGUGAGUAAUAUCUGGGAAACUGCCUGACAGAGGGGGACAACAACUGGAAACGGUUGCUAAUACCGCAUACACCCUGAGGGGGAAAGUCGCAAGACGCUGUCAGAUGUGCCCAGAUGGGAUUAGCUAGUAGGUGAGGUAAAGGCUCACCUAGGCGACGAUCUCUAGCUGGUCUGAGAGGAUGAUCAGCCACAUUGGGACUGAGACACGGCCCAG